RNAcentral lists this unclassified non-coding RNA (168 nucleotides) under uncultured fungus. RNAcentral's name for it is "sequence contains ITS1, 5.8S rRNA gene". The record is from RNAcentral. Lineage: Eukaryota; Fungi.
CUGAACUGUCAACAUGAGUUGUUGCUGGUCCUCAAAUGGGGGCAUGUGCACGCUCUGUUCACACAUCCAUUCACACCUGUGCACCUUCUGUAGUUCUAUGGGCUGGGGGACCUUGUCCUCCUUCUGUAGCUCUACGUCUUUACACACACACUGUAAUAAUUGAAAAUA